Molecule: long non-coding RNA, 333 nt
Organism: Rhipicephalus sanguineus (brown dog tick)
Lineage: Eukaryota; Metazoa; Arthropoda; Arachnida; Ixodida; Ixodidae
Exons: 3
Source: RefSeq, a predicted model, not a curated record
AUGAAUUAUGCUUUAUUGUACUGGUCUAGCGUGGAUAUGCAGCUAGAGUCGACACAGAAGCCAGAGGAAUCAGCAAGCCCACUGGACACGACUACAGGUGAUAGCAGUGACACAACCGCUCCGAGUACAAGCAGUGCAUCUUACCUGCCGCAGAAUCCAGGGAUCCCAGCCGGCCCACUGAAUCUCCAACCAAACACCGCAUACGGGCCCAUGGGUAUGUAUACGAAUGGAAUUGCCGGUUGCGUGUUUCCGUACUACAGGAGCAGUCACUCUUUCACUGCUCUCCAAGCCAUGAUGACACAUCACCAAAUGGCGGAAGCAUGGAGAAAGACA